AUACGUAGGGGGCAAGCGUUAUCCGGAUUUACUGGGUGUAAAGGGAGCGUAGACGGUUCUGCAAGUCUGGAGUGAAAGCCCGGGGCUCAACCCCGGGACUGCUUUGGAAACUGUGGAACUGGAGUGCAGGAGAGGUAAGUGGAAUUCCUAGUGUAGCGGUGAAAUGCGUAGAUAUUAGGAGGAACACCGGUGGCGAAGGCGGCUUGCUGGACAAACACUGACGCUGAGGCUCGAAAGCGUGGGGAGC
This 247-nucleotide ribosomal RNA is filed under the name uncultured bacterium. Its description in RNAcentral is "partial 16S ribosomal RNA". It matches the Rfam family "Bacterial small subunit ribosomal RNA", at positions 523 to 769 of the family's 1533-position model. The record is from RNAcentral.